Non-coding RNA from Rattus norvegicus (Norway rat), 363 nucleotides. NCBI's taxonomy places the organism in Eukaryota, Metazoa, Chordata, Mammalia, Rodentia, Muridae. The record is from RefSeq and is a predicted model, not a curated record.
GCAGACCAUCAGAAGAGCCAAAGCCUGAUUCCAGCUCCUGACUCUUGGAUGGCCUUACGCCUUGUUUUAUCCAGUAAAAUGCAGUAAAUGUAAUGCAGUAAGAUAAGAAAUCGAGUGGAGAAGAAACACAAAUUACCACCAGCUGGUAAACAGCCAUUUCAGAAUCCUCCUCCUCCACCUAAACAAAGAAGUCCACACAGGCACAAGAGUGGACUGUCAUCUCUAUCAGUCAAGACUGCUGGGUCUGCAAGAACUGUUCAGCUACAAUUCACCCAGCCUUUUAUAAGAUCCAGAUGACCUCGUACCUCUAUAUUUGCACUGGUGUGUUUUGGCAGAUGAGGAAAUAAAAUCUUUGUCAGGAAA